AUUGAACGCUGGCGGCAUGCUUUACACAUGCAAGUCGAACGGUAACAGGUUAAGCUGACGAGUGGCGAACGGGUGAGUAAUGCAUCGGAACGUGCCCGAUCGUGGGGGAUAACGCAGCGAAAGCAGCGCUAAUACCGCAUACGAUCUGAGGAUGAAAGCGGGGGACCGUAAGGCCUCGCGCGAUCGGAGCGGCCGAUGUCAGAUUAGGUAGUUGGUGGGGUAAAGGCCCACCAAGCCGACGAUCUGUAGCUGGUCUGAGAGGACGACCAGCCACACUGGGACUGAGACACGGCCCAGGCUCCUACGGGAGGCAGCAGUGGGGAAUUUUGGACAAUGGGCGAAAGCCUGAUCCAGCGAUGCCGCGUGCAGGAAGAAGGCCUUCGGGUUGUAAACUGCUUUUGUACGGAGCGAAAAGGUCCUUUCUAAUACAAGGGGCUCAUGACGGUACCGUAAGAAUAAGCACCGGCUAACUACGUGCCAGCAGCCGCCGUAA
Molecule: ribosomal RNA, 493 nt
Filed under: uncultured bacterium
Lineage: Bacteria
Description: partial 16S ribosomal RNA
Rfam family: Bacterial small subunit ribosomal RNA
Source: RNAcentral